This 500-nucleotide ribosomal RNA is filed under the name uncultured bacterium. Its description in RNAcentral is "partial 16S ribosomal RNA". It matches the Rfam family "Bacterial small subunit ribosomal RNA", at positions 30 to 523 of the family's 1533-position model. The record is from RNAcentral.
AUUGAACGCUGGCGGCAUGCUUUACACAUGCAAGUCGAACGGUAACAGGGUGCUUGCACCGCUGACGAGUGGCGAACGGGUGGGUAAUGCGUCGGAACGUGCCGAGUAGUGGGGGAUAACGCAGCGAAAGUUGUGCUAAUACCGCAUACGUACUGAGGUAGAAAGUGGGGGACCUUCGGGCCUCACGCUAUUCGAGCGGCCGACGUCUGAUUAGCUAGUAGGUGAGGUAAAGGCUCACCUAGGCGACGAGCAGUAGCGGGUCGGAGAGGAUGAUCCGCCACACUGGGACUGAGACACGGCCCAGACUCCUACGGGAGGCAGCAGUGGGGAAUUUUGGACAAUGGGCGAAAGCAUGAUCCAGCCAUGCCGCGUGUCUGAAGAAGGCCUUCGGGUUGUAAAGGACUUUUGUCAGGGAGGAAAUCCCUAGUGCUAAUAACACUGGGGGAUGACAGUACCUGAAGAAUAAGCACCGGCUAACUACGUGCCAGCCGCCGCCGUAA